Molecule: ribosomal RNA, 650 nt
Filed under: uncultured Thiobacillus sp.
Lineage: Bacteria; Pseudomonadati; Pseudomonadota; Betaproteobacteria; Nitrosomonadales; Thiobacillaceae
Description: bacterial SSU rRNA
Rfam family: Bacterial small subunit ribosomal RNA
Source: RNAcentral
GACGAUCAGUAGCGGGUCUGAGAGGAUGAUCCGCCACACUGGAACUGAGACACGGUCCAGACUCCUACGGGAGGCAGCAGUGGGGAAUUUUGGACAAUGGGGGCAACCCUGAUCCAGCCAUUCCGCGUGAGUGAAGAAGGCCUUCGGGUUGUAAAGCUCUUUCAGCUGGAACGAAACGGUACGCUCUAACAUAGCGUGCUAAUGACGGUACCAGCAGAAGAAGCACCGGCUAACUACGUGCCAGCAGCCGCGGUAAUACGUAGGGUGCGAGCGUUAAUCGGAAUUACUGGGCGUAAAGCGUGCGCAGGCGGAUUGUUAAGCAAGACGUGAAAUCCCCGGGCUUAACCUGGGAAUGGCGUUUUGAACUGGCAGUCUAGGGUGUGUCAGAGGGGGGUAGAAUUCCACGUGUAGCAGUGAAAUGCGUAGAGAUGUGGAGGAAUACCAAUGGCGAAGGCAGCCCCCUGGGAUAACACUGACGCUCAUGUACGAAAGCGUGGGUAGCAAACAGGAUUAGAUACCCUGGUAGUCCACGCCCUAAACGAUGUCAACUGGUUGUUGGGGGAGUGAAAUCCCUUAGUAACGAAGCUAACGCGUGAAGUUGACCGCCUGGGGAGUACGGUCGCAAGAUUAAAACUCAAAGGAAUUGACGG